Molecule: ribosomal RNA, 445 nt
Filed under: uncultured bacterium
Lineage: Bacteria
Description: partial 16S ribosomal RNA
Rfam family: Bacterial small subunit ribosomal RNA
Source: RNAcentral
CCUACGGGGGUUGCAGUAGAGAAGCAUUCACAAGGGGGGAAAACCGGAGGGUGUGACGCCGAGUGGGGGAAUGAAGGUCUUCGGAUUGUAAACCCCUGUCAUGUGGGAGCAAAUUAAAAAGAUAGUACCACAAGAGGAAGAGACGGCUAACUCUGUGCCAGCAGCCGCGGUAAUACAGAGGUCUCAAGCGUUGUUCGGAAUAACUGGGCGUAAAGCGUGCGUAGGCUGUUUCGUAAGUCGUGUGUGAAAGGCGCGGGCCCAACCCGCGGACGGCACAUGAUACUGCGAGACUAGAGUAAUGGAGGGGGAACCGGAAUUCUCGGUGUAGCAGUGAAAUGCGUAGAUAUCGAGAGGAACACUCGUGGCGAAGGCGGGUUCCUGGACAUUAACUGACGCUGAGGCACGAAGGCCAGGGGAGCGAAAGGGAUUAGAUACCCUUGUAGUC